Molecule: non-coding RNA, 101 nt
Filed under: Halobacillus sp.
Lineage: Bacteria; Bacillati; Bacillota; Bacilli; Caryophanales; Bacillaceae
Also listed under: 1 other name
Description: Guanine sequence
Rfam family: Purine riboswitch aptamer
About the family: Riboswitches are metabolite binding domains within certain messenger RNAs that serve as precision sensors for their corresponding targets. Allosteric rearrangement of mRNA structure is mediated by ligand binding, and this results in modulation of gene expression.
Source: RNAcentral
GACAAAAUGAAUACAGUACCUUGUAUAAGUUUAGGAAUAAGGCCUGAACGUUUCUACCAGCUACCGGAAAUAGCUAGUCUACAGGGAGGAAUAACGAUUAU